UAAACUAUAGUCAAUAUAUGACAUAUAAGUUGCAUUUAUAAAGAGUUUUUAAAACUAGUUUAA
RNAcentral lists this transfer RNA (63 nucleotides) under Metopaulias depressus. Its description in RNAcentral is "tRNA-Ala". Lineage: Eukaryota; Metazoa; Arthropoda; Malacostraca; Decapoda; Sesarmidae. The record is from RNAcentral.